Molecule: long non-coding RNA, 1300 nt
Organism: Triticum urartu
Lineage: Eukaryota; Viridiplantae; Streptophyta; Magnoliopsida; Poales; Poaceae
Source: RefSeq, a predicted model, not a curated record
AAUAUUCAGACUUGUUUUUUCUUUUUUGAAUAGCUCCUUUUUUUUCAGCCGUUCUAUGCUCAUGGUGUGGGCUGGGCCAUUUCCACUCGUUUAUCUCUCUCCUUCUGCCACUCAAAAAAAAAUCUCUCUCCUUCUUAUCCAUUCCGAUCUAGAUCCCGCUGCCCCAAUCCUCUCCCCUUCCCCCUCCAUGGCAAGCCGGCUCCCCCUUUCCCAGCGAGCUGCGCCGCCAAAACCCUCUCCUGCCCCCAUCGCGGUGCUCCCCAAAGGGCUACCUUCAUCUUAUGCUGCACAAAUACCAGCGAGAUCUGGGUGGACGGGACACGGGUGAUAUCGUCAUCAACCGCCGCCCCCUGGUGCCUUGUGCGGGGUGAGGGGUGCCGCGCCGACAAGCCACGAUCCUCUCUCCUCUUUGCCGUGGUGUAAGUGGUGCGGGGAGGCCCGUGCGCCGUCGAGGGAGGUCUUGGCCGUAAGGGAGUCUGACAUCGACUUUACUGCAAGCAAUGGGCCUUGGAGAUUCCGUCAUGCAUUGUUUAACAAGCUCAGACCUUGCGUUAAUGACAACUGAGAAGGAAGUGUCAGACUUAUCAAGAGGAAACAAUUUAUUCUUUCUUGGCCUUUAGUUUGCAAAUGCACUAUUGUUGAGAUACAGAAUGCACGUCAACUGCACAACAAAUUAUCAUGGCUUUCAAUUUUCCAAUAUUUCCACAUAAUUUUUUUGUAUAAUUUAGUUUGCUUUCCCUUUUCAAAUCUUGCACGUAAUUUUGUUGUCUAACAGAUGGGCUGUGAGUUUGGACUUCACGGUGGUCGCUGCUCAUUCUGCCACGGCGCUGCGUGCCCUCACUACCGACUGCACCCAGUCCGCCUCCGCUGUGUCCUGCGCUGCAUGGGCAUCCCAUUACCCGUAGGACCAUGGCCCGUGGCACCGACGUCGUCGACUACAGCAAUGCCGACGCUGCCCGGUAUGUGUACUGGGUUGAGGCUCUGUGAUACGAGCAGAUCAUCCAAGAGGGUUCGCACUUGCGCAUCAGUGUUCACAAGUAUUCCCUCCUAAAGAAAUAUAAGAGCGUUUAGAUUGCUAAAGUAGUGAUCUAAAUGCUCUUGUAUUUCUUUAGUGAGAGUACUACUAGUAUGAUUUAGGUUGUUGUUGCUGCUCCUUCGAGUUGUGAUAUUUCUGGUGUGAUCUCCAUCCAGGACCAGGAAUGUACAUUUGAUUUUCUGAUUUGAGAUGGAUCGUGGAAUUUAGCGAUGUGAACUUGUAUUAGCAGCACUUAUUUUCUAACUACAUGCUACUUUUGUCUGA